CGGCCGGAUCGGAGGGGUCUCGUGAGAAUAAGGAAAUCACGUGAGACUUGAUGCGUGCGAAAACAUUCCUCCUAACGCGGGCGGUAGCGAAAGGUGUGUAAGAGAAGAGCUAAGUGAGCUGUGUGCUGCGGGAAGAGUACAUGUUUGGAGAGUGACUGGGGAUUUUGCGCUUGCUUCUCAUCAGUGACGUGUGCGCUUGUCUCGUCUCUGUUGUGUCUGGAGUUGACCUGGAUGACCACGGGUUAGCAGGGGAGACUGAGAACUGUGUGUGCUGCGUCCGGUGGGGGGUGCGGCCCUGGGCUGCAAGCUAGGAGUGGCCGCUGCCAAACAACACGGUGCCUUGAUGGGACAUGUCUGGACUGCCGCAAGAGGAGGAAUCCGGCUACCAGCACGAAGUGAGGUCGUUUUAUGGGCACGUGUUCGAGUGUCUCUAGGGUGCUAUCAGAAGUUGGGGCAGUUGUAUCGGAUGGAGGAAACUGAGAUCCAUGGACAACGUGACUUGUCACUCGCCACUUAUCAGGAAGGAGUUGUGGAGGUAAGAGUGGUGGAUACUGUUGCUGGUGGCCUGCCCAUGCCUUCCCCAGACCCUUGUGCUGAUCGUGAGGAUCUCACCAAUCAACAGAAAGAUAAACUGGCAGUAUCGGGGGGUGAGCAAUCAGAUCCUCCCAUUUAUGGGUUCUGGGUACCUGUCCCUAAUGUACCCGGGGAUCAGGAGCCCCAGGAAGCCUGCCGGUCUGCUAGACAGAAUUUAGGCCUGCCACCGGAGCGCUACUCUCCGUGAGUUAUACAUGACUGUUCAUUGCUUGUCAGGGACUGCCAAGGUUAAAGCCUGGGGGGGUGUCAGUGUGUGGGUUUUUUUUGUGUGUGUGUGCGCUGUGUAAUCCAUGGUUGCUGUGAUUGUUUGCUGUGUGAUCUAAUUUAGUGUGUGGCCUGAAACUAAACUCACAGGUGUUCCUUAUGAUCGGACAAUGGCAAAGUCAAUUAUUCUAUUACAAACGUGGAAAGACUGAUUGGGGGACAGGUGGGGUAGGCGUGCUUUUUUUUUUUUUUUUUUUCCUAUUUAUAGGGGUCCAGCAAGGAGGAAUGGGGCGCGACCAACCAGGAAAGAGCACGACAGAGCAAGUGGAGCGCAACAGAGGGUGCCGGCAUUCAACUGUGGUUUCCACAUUGUGUGUGUACAACGCGUUUGAUACUUCAUCUGGGUCGUGGUUAAGCCACACCCAGAUGCGACCGACCAGGAAAGAGAGCACGGCAGAGCAAGCGGCGCGCAACAGAGGGCGCCGGCAUUCAACUGUGGUUUCCACAUUGUGUGUGUACAACGCGUUUGAUACUUCAUCUGGGUCGCGAUUAAGCCGCACCCAGGCAAAGUAAGUACACUUUUAAGCUAUAUUGCCUACCAGAUAUUCUGUUGGUUGUGACGGCACUCUCCACUGCUGAGACCCUCUUUCUCUCCCUCGGAGGCAUCGUCCAGUGCCAACUUGAUGUAGGGAGGAGGAGCUGACUGGAAGGGAUGGUGCCGUGCAUGUUAUGCUAAGCUAACUGCUGCUGACUGUGGGAUUGCUUGCUACUGCUUAAUUGCCUUGCUUGCUGGGUCGCUGGGAUUGCUGCUGGCCGCGUGUUGCUUGCUUGCUGGCUUGCUGCUUCUGCUGCGCUCUGGGGGUGGGAUCACGCUGAUUUUAGUUAUUGCAUGGAUUGAGUUUUAAAGGAUUUUUUUGCAUGGGUUGUCAUUUUAAUGUUUUUGAAUUACAGGUGCAUCUACUGUUAACUUUAAAUAAUAAGAAUUUAUUGAAACUUAAACUUUGUCUGUCUGCUCACUGCUUGCCACCACACCUGUAUAACUGUCUGGUCACGGACACACUAAAACUUGGUGACAUUUCCACUGUUAUGCUGAUGACACACAGUUGUAUGUUUCUGCAAAACCAGAGACACCAGCUUAAUAGAAUUGAUGAAUGUGUAAAGGACAUUAGACACUUGAUGCUUAUUAAUUUCCUUCUGCUUAACUCUGACAAGACAGAAGUACUUGUACUCGGACCACAUGCAGCUAGAAGUAAGUUUUCUGAUUACACAGUAACUCUGGAUGACCUUUGUUUCUUCACGUGCAGCAGUAAAAGACCUCGGAGUGAUUAUUGACCCCAGUCUUUUAUUCGAAACUCACAUUGAUAACAUUACCCAGAUAGCUUUCUUUCAUCUCAGAAAUAUUGCUAAGAUAAGAAAUUUAAUGUUACUACAUGACGCGGAAAAACUAGUUCAUGCUUUCGUUACCUCCAGGUUGGAUUAUUGUAAUGCCUUACUGUCUGGAUGUUCCAAUAAGUGCAUAAACAAGCUCCAGUUAGUUCAAAAUGCAGCAGCAAGAGUCCUUACUAGAACUAGAAAAUAUGACCACAUCACCCCUGUUUUAUCCACACUGCAUUGGCUCCCAAUCAAAUUUCGUAUUAAUUAUAAAGUACUACUAUUGACCUUUAAAGCACUGAAUGGUCUCGCAUCACAGUACCUGAGUGAACUUCUGCUCCUCUAUGACUCACCAUGUCUACUUGGAUCAAAAGGUGCAGGCUAUCUGCUGGUACCUCGUAUAGUGAAGGCUACAUCAGGGGGCAGAGCCUUUUCUUACAAAGCCCCACAGUUAUGGAACAGCUUUCCAAGUAGUGUUUGGGAAUCAGACACAGUCUCGGUGUUUAAGUCUUGGCUGAAAACAUAUCUGUUUAGUCAAGCCUUUUGUUAAUGGUGUCUAUGAGGUAAAGGUGUAGAUCUGGAGGAUCCUCAGACAUAGUGUUUUGGUAAGCUGGGAUGUAUGGAUGCUGUCAGUCCCCACUCGCUUGCUCACUUGAGUUUGUUGAUGGUGUAGUGGCUGGCUGCUUUAUGUCCCGGGCUCCCUCAUGCCUAUGUUACCUUCUUGCUCUCCCCUUUUAGUUAUGCUGUCAUAGUUAGUUGCCAGAAUCCCUGCUUGUACUCAGUGCAAUAUGUAUACUGUUCCUACUUAUUGAGGUGACAUUGGGCAUACCUAACAACCUGUGUUUUCUCCCCCCCCCACCCCCCCCACCCCCAAUCUGUCCCUCUGAGUUACAUGUUGGUCCUGGGAUCGAGAUGCUGACCUCUUGUGCUUCUCAGACCUGCCUGAUCCAUCCUGGUGCCCUGUGUCUGGAGUCUCAUCGCAUCGCUCCUGUGGAGGGCGGCCCCAUGUGGACAGUUGGGGGUCACACCUGGAGGACACUCUGGACUCUUGCAGUGGUGCUUUUGUGGCUGGGGACUGCAGUUGACUUGCUGACUUUGGGACCACGGUUGUCAUAAACGGUUUUGCGCUCGGGUUUCCGUCGGUGGGGGUUUAUAGCAUCAACGAAGCUGACUUUAUGUUCGGACUGUUAAUGUUAGUCAUGUUGUCUGUUGUUGCCUGGAUGGGGAUGGGUUCCCUUUUGAGUCUGGUUCCUCGAGGUUUCUUCCUCAUGUUGUCUGAGGGAGAUUUUCCUUGCCACCGUCGCCACAAGCGUGCUCGUUGGGGAUAGAUUAGGAAUAAAAUUAGCUCAUAUUUUAAGUCGUUCAAAUUCUGUAAAGCUGCUUUGCGACAAUGCUUAUUGUUAAAAGCGCUUUACAAAUAAACUUGACUUGACAUACAUGUA
This is a long non-coding RNA of Neoarius graeffei (lesser salmon catfish), 3611 nucleotides long. RefSeq lists it as uncharacterized. The transcript has 3 exons. NCBI's taxonomy places the organism in Eukaryota, Metazoa, Chordata, Actinopteri, Siluriformes, Ariidae. The record is from RefSeq and is a predicted model, not a curated record.